GGUUUGAUUCUGGCUCAGAUUGAACGCUGUGGAUAGCACACAUGCAAGUCGAACAUUAGCUACGGACUUCAGUCUGGUGGCAUUAACAGUGGUGAGUAAUGUAUCGGAACGUGCCUAGUAGCGGCGGGGGGAUAACUACACAGCGUAUUCAUCACGCCAUAUCGGGGAAAGCAGGGGACCUUCGGGCCUCGCACUAAUAGGCCAGCCGAUAUCGGAUUAGCUAGUUGGUGGGGUAACGGCUCACCAAAGGCGACGAUCCGUAGCUGGUUUGAGAGGACGACCAGCCACACUGGGGACUGAGACACGGCCCAGACUCCUACAGGAGGCAGCAGUGAGGGGAAUUUUGGACAAUGGGGAAACCCUGAUCCAGCCGUCCCGCGUGUGCGAUGAAGGCCUUCGGGUUGUAAAGCACUUUGGCAGGAAGAAACGGCCUGGAUAAUACCCCGUGCAGCUGACGAUACCCUGCAGAAUAAGCACCAUGCUGCGUGCCAGCGGCCGCGGCGAUAAUACAUGCAGGUGCGGCGUUAAUCGGAAUUACUGGGCGUAAAGCGUGCGCAGGCGGUUCCGGAAAGAAAGAUGUGAAAUCCCAGAGCUUAACUUUGGAACUGCAUUUUUAACUACCGAGCUAGAGUGUGUCAGAGGGAGGUGGAAUUCCGCGUGUAGCAGUGAAAUGCGUAGAUAUGCGGAGGAACACCGAUGGCAGAAGGCAGCCUCCUGGGAUAACACCGACGCUCGCUUGCACGAAAGCGUGGGAGCAAACAGGAUUAGAUACCUGGUAGUCCACGCCCUAGCUUGAUGUCAACUAGCUGUUGGGGCCUUCGGGCCUUGGUAGCGCAACUAACGCGUGAAGUUGACCGCCUGGGAAAUACGGUCGCAAGAUUAAAACUCAAAGGAAUUGACGGGGACCCGCACAAGCGGUGGAUGGUGUGGAUUAAUUCGAUGCAACGCGAAAAGCCUUACCUACCUUGACAUAUCUGGAAUCGAAGAGAUUUGGGAGUGCUCGCCACGAACCGGAACACAGGUGCUGCAUGGCUGUCGUCAGCUCGUGUCGUGAGAUGUUGGGUUAAGUCCCGCAACGAGCGCAACCCUUGUCAUUAGUUGCUACGAAAGAGGCACUCUAAUGAGACUGCCGGUGACAAACCGGAAGGUGGGGAUGACGUCAAGUCCUCAUGGCCCUUAUGGGUAGGGCUUCACACGUCAUACAAUGGUCGGGACAGAGGGUCGCCAACCCGCGAGAAGGCCAAUCCCAGAAACGAUCUGGUAGUCCGGAUCACAGUCUGCAACUCGACUGCGUGAAGUCGGAAUCGCUAGUAAUCGCGGAUCAGCAUGUCGCGGUGAAUACGUUCCCGGGUCUUGUACACACCGCCCGUCACCAUGGGAGUGGGUUUUACCAGAAGUAGUUAGCCUAACCGUAAGGAGGGCGAUUACCACGAUAGGAUUCAUGACUGGGGUGAAGUCGUAACAAGGUAGCUCUGUUAC
RNAcentral lists this ribosomal RNA (1479 nucleotides) under uncultured Bordetella sp. Its description in RNAcentral is "partial 16S-23S ribosomal RNA intergenic spacer". It matches the Rfam family "Bacterial small subunit ribosomal RNA". The record is from RNAcentral. Lineage: Bacteria; Pseudomonadati; Pseudomonadota; Betaproteobacteria; Burkholderiales; Alcaligenaceae.